ACUCCUACGGGAGGCAGCAGCAGGGAAUCUUGCGCAAUGGGCGAAAGCCUGACGCAGCAACGCCGCGUGAGGGAUGAAGGCCUUCGGGUUGUAAACCUCUUUCAGAAGGGAAGAAAUUGACGGUACCUUCAGAAGAAGCCCCGCCGCAACUACGUGCCAGCAGCCGCGGUAAUACGUAGGGCGAAGCGUUGUCCGGAAUUAUUGGGCGUAAAGAGCUCGUAGGCGGCUCAGCAAGUCGACUGUGAAAUCCCGAGGCUCAACCUCGGAACUGCAGUCGAUACUGCUGUGGCUUGAGUCUGGUAGAGGAGAAUGGAAUUCCCGGUGUAGCGGUGAAAUGCGCAGAUAAUCGGGAGGAACACCAGUAGCGAAGGCGGUUCUCUGGGCCAGUACUGACGCUGAGGAGCGAAAGCGUGGGUAGCAAACAGGAUUAGAUACCCUGGUAGGCUUUGC
This 450-nucleotide ribosomal RNA is filed under the name uncultured bacterium. RNAcentral's name for it is "bacterial SSU rRNA". It matches the Rfam family "Bacterial small subunit ribosomal RNA", at positions 335 to 800 of the family's 1533-position model. The record is from RNAcentral.